GGCAAGAUUAAUAGGGCGCUACGGUGAGACUUGCCUUGCCUAAGAGCGAUGAAGGACGUGCUUAUACGUACGAUUCAUUCUAGUGUGAGCAGUAAUGUACGCAUUGAUUCCCCUAGGUCUCCGAAUGGGGAAACCCAGCUUUGUACUAGCAAUGUUAUUCAUGAUGUUAUACACACAUCGCUCAUGUAUAAGCUCUAAUUUCGCAAGAGAACUGACCACAUCUAAGUACUGCAGGAGAAAAGUUAAAAACGAUUUCUGUCAAGUGCGCCGACCGCGAACGCGAAUGGAUAUGUGUCUAACAAGAUAUUCUUGCCUUGGGUUGUAGGACUGCAUACGCGACUUAAGCUUAUAGUUCGAAUAACCUGGAAGUUAAUCAAGAUGGUAAUAAAUCCCGUAGACGAAAAUGCGCUUAUACCUAGCAGAUAUCCUGAUUAGUGCUGCACGCGUAACCAAGUUUGAAUCCGGCGAGACACCUUCCAACCUAACUACUUCCUUAGGUUGACGAUAGUGAAACCAGUACCGUGAGGAAAGGUGAAAGGUAACCUCCUGAGUAGGGAGAUAUAUUAUCACCUAAACCGUGUGCCUACAAGAGUUCGAGCGUUAAUUGUCGGAGGCGUGCCUUGUAGAAUGAACCGGCGAGUUACGUAUGAUGCGAUCGAGCAAGUUGAGAGAGACGGAGCCGGUAGGGAAAACCGAGUCUGAAUUAGGCGACUUAGUAUCAUGAUGUAGACCCGAAUACCUUUUACCGGUGACCCCUUAUUUAUGAUCAGGGUGAAGGUUGGUGGUAAGACGCACUGGGAGGCCCGAUUACCCAGGACAUCGUUGAUAAGUGUUUUUGGAUGACUUGUGGAUUAGCGGAGAAAAUUCCAAACGAACUGGGGAUAGUCUGGUUUUCCGAAAUAGGCUUUUUUAGGUGCUUAGCGUCGAAAUGUAAGUGUAUUUGGAUAGGCAACUGUUUGGGUGAGGGUCCGUCUAGAUAUCCUAAUCUCAGAUAACUCCGAUCAUUGCAAUCACACAUGUUCGUGCAUGUAGACUGCGAGUGCUAGGAUCGUAGUCGAAAGGGAAACAGCCAGCCACAGCUAAGGUCCCAACAUAUAUGUUAAGUGGAAUCUAAGGAUGUCUGGGUUGCACAGACAACUAGGAUGUUAGUCAGAUACAGCCUAUCAUUCAAGAUUGCGUAAUAGCUCACAGUCGUAUGACUCUGCGUCCGAAAAUGUACCGGGCUUUUAAACAUAUUACCGAAGCUUUGGACUUGAUUAUGUUUAUCCAAUGGUAGGAUGAGCGUCUACGCGGAUGCUAUACCGUGAGAGUGCUGGGAGCGUUUAAGAAGUGAGAAUGCCGGUAGUGAGUGCGCAAGAUAAGUGAGAAUCUUAUCCACCGUAAGGACUAAUGUUUCCAGGAAAGGCUCGUCCGCCCUGGGUUAGUCGGGACCUAAGCUGGAGGCCGAAAGCGUAGUCGAUGAAACGGUUGAUUUCAUGUACUAGAUAUGAUCGUGAUGGAAGGGACGCAUUAUUGCUAAGAGUUAUGGCCAGUAAUGGAUUCUGGUCUAAGCGGUGAGGGUGUUGAGAUGUUUUCAAAAUGCAUCUCUCUAACAUUGAGCUGUGAUGGGGAGGCAUACUUACUGGGUUGCGAUAUCUCUGAUGUCACACUGCCAAGAAAAGCUUCUAGCGUAAAGUCAUUUUUCCCCGUACGCAAACUCUGUACAUCAGGUCAGUCUGUAUGCGAGUUAGCCUCUUCUGUUGAUCGAGAGAACUCUCGUUAAGGUAACUCGGCAAAAUAGCCCCGUAACUUCGGGAGAAGGGGUGUUGGUGUAAAAAGCCAGCCGCAGUGAAAUAUGGCCCAGCAUAUCUGUUAUCACCUACAAACACAGCUCUCUGCUUAAUACGCUAAUCUCAGGUGUCUGUAUCUCAGGUGGUUGACGCCUGCCCGGUGCUGAAGGUUAAGAGGAUGGCUUAGACGUAUAUCGAAGGAUUAUUGAAUUGAAGCCCCCAUAACCGGCGGCCGUAACUAUAACGGUCCUAAGGAGCGAAAUUCCUUGUCGGGGUAAGUUCCGAACUCCGCACGAAGGCGUAGAUGAUUUGUGGCCACUGUCUCAUUACGAGUAGACUCGGUGAAAGCCCUCUCAGUCUACCUGUUGAAGAUGCAGGUUACCGGACAGGACGGAAAGACCCCAUGGACUUUACUGUAGUUUGAUAUGAGUACCUGUAUUAAGUCAUGUUACGAAUUUAGGUAGAGCCAUUAAAUAGGACGCUAGUUUCUAUUGAGGGCGUUCGUUGGGAUACUACCUCAUCUUUAAUCUCUAUACCCGCUUGGCAUAAUCGGUCACGUCGAUAACAGUGUCUGACGAUCAGCUUGACGUGUGCGGCGGCCUCCUAAAGAUAACGGAGGCGCUCACAAGGUUGUCUCAGAUAUGGUUGGAAAUCAAUCGUCAGAGUGUAAAUGGAAAAGCCAGCUGACUGCGAGAGCUACAACUCGAGGCAGGUAGGAAAAACUAGGACUUAGUGACGGUCCGGUACCGCAUGGAAUGGGCCAUCGCUCAACGGAUAAAAGCUUUACCUGGAGCGUAUAACAGGCUUAUCUCCCCAAGAUUCACAUCGAGGGGAGGGUUUGGCACCUCGAGGCGGCUCGUCGCAUCCUGGGGCUGUAGUCAGUCGCCGCUAUAGUUGCUGUCGGCCAUAAUAUUGCGGCACGCGAGCUGGUGGUUCAGAAGUCUCGUGAGACAGUUCGGUCCUAUCCCGUCUUGCUGUGCCUGCGUAUGUAAUUUGAGAUGGAUUGUCUCAGUUAUCGAGAGGACCGGAUGGACUUACCGCUGUUUCCGUCACGUGUUGUUCCGCCAGGAGCACCCGGCUGACUAGCUAUGUUGGGAAGGGAUAAGCGUCUGAAAGCAAUCUAAGUGCGAAAGCCCACUCAAGAUUGAGAUUUACCAUUCGUAAGAAUUAAGAGCCCAGAGAGGAGAUCUGGUAGCUAGGCUGAAGUGGAAGUUCGUCGAG
RNAcentral lists this ribosomal RNA (2990 nucleotides) under Lactococcus cremoris. Its description in RNAcentral is "bacterial LSU rRNA". It matches the Rfam family "Bacterial large subunit ribosomal RNA". Lineage: Bacteria; Bacillati; Bacillota; Bacilli; Lactobacillales; Streptococcaceae. The record is from RNAcentral.